GCCCUCGUAGCUCAGCCGGAUAGAGCAACGGAUUUCUAAUCCGUAGGCCACAGGUUCGAAUCCUGUCGAGGGUACAA
Molecule: transfer RNA, 77 nt
Filed under: Fidelibacterota bacterium
Lineage: Bacteria; Pseudomonadati; Fidelibacterota
Description: tRNA-Arg
Rfam family: tRNA
About the family: Transfer RNA (tRNA) molecules are approximately 80 nucleotides in length. Their secondary structure includes four short double-helical elements and three loops (D, anti-codon, and T loops). Further hydrogen bonds mediate the characteristic L-shaped molecular structure. tRNAs have two regions of fundamental functional importance: the anti-codon, which is responsible for specific mRNA codon recognition, and the 3' end, to which the tRNAs corresponding amino acid is attached (by aminoacyl-tRNA synthetases). tRNAs cope with the degeneracy of the genetic code in two manners: having more than one tRNA (with a specific anti-codon) for a particular amino acid; and 'wobble' base-pairing, i.e. permitting non-standard base-pairing at the 3rd anti-codon position.
Source: RNAcentral